This 468-nucleotide ribosomal RNA is filed under the name uncultured bacterium. Its description in RNAcentral is "partial 16S ribosomal RNA". It matches the Rfam family "Bacterial small subunit ribosomal RNA", at positions 28 to 507 of the family's 1533-position model. The record is from RNAcentral.
GACGAACGCUGGCGGCGUGCUUAACACAUGCAAGUCGAACGGAAAGGCCCUGCUUUGGUGGGGUGCUCGAGUGGCGAACGGGUGAGUAACACGUGAGUAACCUGCCCUUGACUUUGGGAUAACUUCAGGAAACUGGGGCUAAUACCGGAUAGGAGCUCCUGCUGCAUGGUGGGGGUUGGAAAGUUUCGGCGGUUGGGGAUGGACUCGCCGCUUAUCAGCUUGUUGGGUGGGUAGUGGCUUACCAAGGCAUUGACGGGUAGCCGGGCUGGGAGGGUGACCGGCCCAACUGGGACUGGACUACGGCCCGGACCCCUCCGGGACGGGAGAGAGCAGUAUGGAAUACUAUGGGAGGGAGGAUAGCGUAAUCCAGCAGCGCGGCGGAAGACGGGAUUGGGGUUGUAAACCGCUUUCGCCUUUGACGAAGUGUGAGUGACGGUAAUGGGUAAAGAAGCACCGGCUAACUACGUG